Molecule: ribosomal RNA, 407 nt
Filed under: uncultured bacterium
Lineage: Bacteria
Description: partial 16S ribosomal RNA
Rfam family: Bacterial small subunit ribosomal RNA
Source: RNAcentral
AUUGAACGCUGGCGGCAGGCCUAACACAUGCAAGUCGAGCGGAGCGGCGGCCGGGUGAGUAAUGCCUAGGUAUCUGCCUGGUAGUGGGGGAUAACGUCCGGAACCGGGCGCUAAUACCGCAUCCUAUCAGCUGAGCCUGGGUCGGAUUAGCUCGUGGGUGGGGUAACGGUUCACCAAGGCGACGAUCCGUAGCUGGUUUGAGAGGACGACCAGCCACACUGGGACUGAGACACGGCCCAGACUCCUACGGGAGGCAGCAGUGGGGAAUUUUGGACAAUGGGCGAAACCCUGAUCCAGCCAUCCCGCGUGUGCGAUGAAGGCCUUCGGGUUGUAAAGCACUUUAAGUUGGGAGGCGUUACCAACAGAAUAAGCACCGGCUAACUUCGUGCCAGCAGCCGCGGUAAUUC